CGGAUCGAUGAUGAGUAUUGGUGGCGUAGGGGUCAUAUAUGAUGAAUACGCGUCUGAAACUCUGAGGUCCAU
This 72-nucleotide small nucleolar RNA is filed under the name Carlito syrichta (Philippine tarsier). RNAcentral describes it as "Small nucleolar RNA SNORD113/SNORD114 family (ENSTSYG00000022830.2)". It matches the Rfam family "Small nucleolar RNA SNORD113/SNORD114 family". Rfam says of the family: The imprinted human domain at 14q32 contains two clusters of tandemly repeated small nucleolar RNAs named 14q(I) and 14q(II) snoRNAs. These two clusters are named SNORD113 and SNORD114 respectively in the HGNC approved gene symbol nomenclature. The snoRNAs found in both clusters are clearly related and are represented here by a single family. Lineage: Eukaryota; Metazoa; Chordata; Mammalia; Primates; Tarsiidae. The record is from Rfam by way of RNAcentral.